AUGGGGGUGUCAGGGCGCGAGCAGGCUCGCUCUUCACCCUUGAGGGAGAGGAGCGCAUUCGUGCGGCCUGGUACGACGCGCAUUUGUGGGGACACCGGGUGUGCAGAGAGGAGUGUUAAAGCAUUAUUUCGAGCUGUGCAGCUUAAACUCUGGUCAACGGGGGAGCAGAGAAGUCAAAGGCAUCGCUGUAGCAAGCAAGUUCUAAACCUCAAUCAUGUCAUUGAUCCACCCUCAAAUGCCCUUUCCUGCGAGUUCCUCGUGGCAAGUGUUUUUAAGUUACUCCGUUCCCUCCUGAUGCAAAGACCAGUGAAUGAUAGAGGUGGCUUGUGACAAGAAAAUUCCAUGUGAAACCAUGGCCAAGUGCAAGCAGCAUGACUUUUGCCUUUCAUUUCAAUGUGGGAAGGUUUUCUUCCGGCAUACUUUCACUGUGUAUUUACAGACCCAAUCCUACAAGUGUCUUCCAUGGCCAUGCAAGGCUUUUUAGUUUGCAUUAUCCAUUUCCUUUUUUCUGUGGAAAGGUUGCAUAAGGUAAUAAACAAAGAUAUGUGGGAGAAAAUAGAAAGUUG
Molecule: long non-coding RNA, 566 nt
Filed under: Anser brachyrhynchus (Pink-footed goose)
Lineage: Eukaryota; Metazoa; Chordata; Aves; Anseriformes; Anatidae
Description: lncRNA (ENSABRG00000015416.1)
Source: RNAcentral